Salmo salar (Atlantic salmon) is the source of this 54-nucleotide non-coding RNA. Lineage: Eukaryota; Metazoa; Chordata; Actinopteri; Salmoniformes; Salmonidae. The record is from Rfam.
UGCAUUCACUACUGUAAGUCGCUCUGGAUAAGAGCGUCUGCUGAAUGACUGAAU